RNAcentral lists this unclassified non-coding RNA (265 nucleotides) under plant metagenome. RNAcentral describes it as "partial contains small subunit ribosomal RNA, internal transcribed spacer 1, and 5.8S ribosomal RNA". The stretch from base 1 to 53 matches the Rfam family "Eukaryotic small subunit ribosomal RNA", at positions 1778 to 1831 of the family's 1831-position model. The record is from RNAcentral.
GGAAGUAAAAUCGUAACAAGGUCUCCGUUGGUGAACCAGCGGAGGGAUCAUUACCGAGUUUACAACUCCCAAACCCAAUGUGAACCAUACCAAACUGUUGCCUCGGCGGGGUCACGCCCCGGGUGCGUCGCAGCCCCGGAACCAGGCGCCCGCCGGAGGGACCAACCAAACUCUUUCUGUAGUCCCCUCGCGGACGUUAUUUUUACAGAUCUGAGCAAAAAUUCAAAAUGAAUCAAAACUUUCAACAACGGAUCUCUUGGUUCUG